CACGUAGGGCGCAAGCGUUGUCCGGAUUGAUUGGGCGUAAAGAGCGUGUAGGCGGCUUUACAGGUCCGUUGUGAAAACUCGAGGCUCAACCUCGAGACGCCGAUGGAAACCAUCUGACUAGAGUCCGGAAGAGGAGAGUGGAAUUCCUGGUGUAGCGGUGAAAUGCGCAGAUAUCAGGAAGAACACCCGUGGCUAAGGCGGCUCUCUAGUACGUGACUGACGCUGAGACGCGAAAGCGUGGGGAGCGAACAGG
This 253-nucleotide ribosomal RNA is filed under the name uncultured bacterium. Its description in RNAcentral is "partial 16S ribosomal RNA". It matches the Rfam family "Bacterial small subunit ribosomal RNA", at positions 524 to 776 of the family's 1533-position model. The record is from RNAcentral.